UAUGGCCAUAUCAUGCUGAAACACCAGUUACUGUAAAAACAUUGAAGUUAAGCAACGUCGAUCGUGUUCAGUACCUCGAUGGGUGACCACUUGAGAAUACCAGGUGCUGUA
This is a non-coding RNA of Acanthosepion pharaonis, 111 nucleotides long. Lineage: Eukaryota; Metazoa; Mollusca; Cephalopoda; Sepiida; Sepiidae. The record is from the annotation of a GenBank genome assembly.